This is a long non-coding RNA of Ornithodoros turicata, 855 nucleotides long. RefSeq lists it as uncharacterized. The record is from RefSeq and is a predicted model, not a curated record. NCBI's taxonomy places the organism in Eukaryota, Metazoa, Arthropoda, Arachnida, Ixodida, Argasidae. The transcript is spliced from 3 exons.
CUGAAGAAGAAGUCCUGGUCGCGUGAACUAAGAGUCCACUAGCUACUUGGCCAGCUCUGUCGGGGUUGCCUCGGAAAAUUCGAAACUGCCACCACCUACUUGAAAAAUUAUCUUAUCUACUUUUCGGACAAUAUGUAUAGGUUCGGCUCUGGCAGGACGAAUCUGUAAAUCCUCUCCUGCUCAAGGUCUCACGCCAUGGAAGUGACAGGACAUGCUCCUGUUGGAGCAUUGUUGUUGGCUAUGGACGCUGUUGAAAGAGAUGCGAUCAGCUACUGGGCUCGUAGAUUCAUGUCUCUCUUGGUACAAGCAAACGAGAUCGUCAAAUUAGGACUCGAGAACUUCACGACGUUGCUGAGAAGAACACAAAGCUCUGCUGCGACUGCGCAAAACGACGGCAGCGCUGAAACGCAACACGGUAGCAACGGGGAACCCUCUACCGUUACGAAGGACACCAGCAGAAGCACGACCAGUUUAGGUUCCGCGACGGAUAAGUUGUCCGAGAAACCGUCUCGCAUCCCACGUGCGGCAGACAUGGUGCAUCUCCCAGAGGUAAACGGCGACAACGAACCUAACGUGAGAAGACGACGCCUUCCAGGCGGUUCGACGCAAAUUAAGGGGCACAGAUCUAGAAUCCCUCGGCUACAGGCACUCUCUCCUGUGGGGGUCCCUCACAGUGGCAGAGGAGGCUCGCAAGCCGCUCAUUCUACGGCCUCGUUUCCCUCCACGCAGUGAAGGCCCGUGCGUGACUGGACGGAUAUGUCACCGGCCGACGUCUCCGUUGGAGGUGCUCAUCUCAACAACGUUGUUCGUUGAGCGGCAUAUAACGCUGCCGCAAAUAAAGAAAAAUGGUCCCCA